This 253-nucleotide ribosomal RNA is filed under the name uncultured bacterium. RNAcentral's name for it is "partial 16S ribosomal RNA". It matches the Rfam family "Bacterial small subunit ribosomal RNA", at positions 524 to 776 of the family's 1533-position model. The record is from RNAcentral.
UACGGGGGGGGCAAGCGUUGUUCGGAAUUACUGGGCGUAAAGGGUUCGUAGGUGGCUGGCUAAGUCAGACGUGAAAUCCCUCAGCUUAACUGGGGAACUGCGUCUGAGACUGGUCGGCUCGAGUGCAGGAGAGGAACGCGGAAUUCCAGGUGUAGCGGUGAAAUGCGUAGAUAUCUGGAGGAACACCGGAGGCGAAGGCGGCGUGCUGGACCUUUUCUGACGCUGAGGCGCGAAAGCUAGGGGAGCAAACGGG